This 446-nucleotide ribosomal RNA is filed under the name uncultured bacterium. RNAcentral's name for it is "bacterial SSU rRNA". It matches the Rfam family "Bacterial small subunit ribosomal RNA", at positions 328 to 792 of the family's 1533-position model. The record is from RNAcentral.
UUCCCAGACUCCUACGGGAGGCAGCAGUAGGGAAUCUUUCACAAUGGACGAAAGCCUGAUGGAGCAACGCCGCGUGCAGGAUGAAGGCCUUCGGGUUGUAAACUGCUUUUAUAAGCGAGAAAUAUGAUGGUAACUUAUGAAUAAGGAUCGGCUAACUCCGUGCCAGCAGCCGCGGUAAUACGGAGGAUGCGAGCGUUAUCCGGAUUUAUUGGGUUUAAAGGGUGCGUAGGCGGACGCUUAAGUCAGCGGUAAAAUUGCGGGGCUCAACCUCGUCGAGCCGUUGAAACUGGGUGCCUUGAGUGGGCGAGAAGUACGCGGAAUGCGUGGUGUAGCGGUGAAAUGCAUAGAUAUCACGCAGAACUCCGAUUGCGAAGGCAGCAUACCGGCGGCGAUCUGACGCUGAGGCACGAAAGCGUGGGUAUCGAACAGGAUUAGAUACCCUUGUA